CGGGAGGCAGCAGUGGGGAAUUUUGGACAAUGGGCGCAAGCCUGAUCCAGCAAUGCCGCGUGAGUGAAGAAGGCCUUCGGGUUGUAAAGCUCUUUUGUCAGGGAAGAAACGGUGAGGGCUAAUAUCCUUUGCUAAUGACGGUACCUGAAGAAUAAGCACCGGCUAACUACGUGCCAGCAGCCGCGGUAAUACGUAGGGUGCAAGCGUUAAUCGGAAUUACUGGGCGUAAAGCGUGCGCAGGCGGUUAUGUAAGUCAGAUGUGAAAUCCCCGGGCUCAACCUGGGAAUGGCAUUUGAGACUGCAUGGCUAGAGUGUGUCAGAGGGGGGUAGAAUUCCACGUGUAGCAGUGAAAUGCGUAGAGAUGUGGAGGAAUACCGAUGGCGAAGGCAGCCCCCUGGGAUAACACUGACGCUCAUGCACGAAAGCGUGGGGAGCAAACAGGAUUAGAUACCCGAGU
This 457-nucleotide ribosomal RNA is filed under the name uncultured Oxalobacteraceae bacterium. RNAcentral describes it as "bacterial SSU rRNA". It matches the Rfam family "Bacterial small subunit ribosomal RNA", at positions 342 to 791 of the family's 1533-position model. Lineage: Bacteria; Pseudomonadati; Pseudomonadota; Betaproteobacteria; Burkholderiales; Oxalobacteraceae. The record is from RNAcentral.